GAAAUAUAAGAACCCGUCUCUUAACUUUUAACUAAAAAAAUUAAGAACCGGCUCUUAAAACUCUUAUUUAAGAGCCGGUUCUUAGCUUUUUAGUUAAAAGUUAAGAGACAGGUUCUUAUAUUUC
RNAcentral lists this microRNA precursor (124 nucleotides) under Brassica oleracea var. oleracea. RNAcentral's name for it is "MIR9563 microRNA precursor family". It matches the Rfam family "MIR9563 microRNA precursor family". The record is from Rfam by way of RNAcentral. Lineage: Eukaryota; Viridiplantae; Streptophyta; Magnoliopsida; Brassicales; Brassicaceae.